AUCCAGCAAAACUGAUAUUUCUUAAAGUAAGGAAAUCGAAGGAAAACGGGUAAUUUUUAGCCAUAUCAUUUGAGAAAAAAAUCCGCGGUCACAAUGUAAAUAAUGUUAACAAUUAUAGGUCAAAGUACGGCCUUCACGACGGAGCCUUGGCUCACCCCGAAUAGCAAUCUCAGCUUGUUUUUGCAUAAGUUUGAGUUGCUUCCAGGUUCAAGCAAUACUGAUGUUUCUUAAAGUAAGGAAAUCGAAGGGAAACGGGUCAUUUUUAGCCAAUGACUUUCCAGGUUCAAGCAAUACUGAUGUUUCUUAAGGUAAGGAAAUCAAAGGGAAACGGGUCAUUUUUAGCCAAUGACUUAGGGGGACAAAAAUCGGCAGGGGCUGCGCCCCCCAACCCCCUAUCUUGGGGGCCUUAAUCGGUGACCCCCAUACCCCUGCCUCCCCUGAAUUCGAACCCUAGUUACGGCCCUGCUAGUGGAAUAAUUUUUCAGUAUUACAGUAAUUUCUCUCGCUAACAUAAUAUACGUUGUUACAUACUCGUUGUAGAGAAGCAAAAACUUACUUUUCUUUACGUGUACCAUUAUUCUUUUAUUUGUCUUAAUAAAUAU
This 602-nucleotide long non-coding RNA is filed under the name Mytilus galloprovincialis (Mediterranean mussel). The record is from RNAcentral. Lineage: Eukaryota; Metazoa; Mollusca; Bivalvia; Mytilida; Mytilidae.